UACGUCAUCGAGGCGAGGCUCCGCCCCUGCACGGAUUUGUUGUGAAAACAGUCGCACCCGUUCUGAUGUGCGCCCAGUGUGUGCAUCCUUGUGCACGUCACGUCGCAGCGCUAGUGCGUGCGUCAUUGUGCACGUGGCAGUGUAGCCAAAGGCUAGGAGGUGACGCCACGCACGUCACGAGUGUAUAAAAUUGGCUGGAGUCAGCGUAAGCUGAAACUGCGGAUGCUAUGCCCUCGGCGUGAGGUAUGUUGGUGUACAAAGAUGCGACAUCCAUAGUGACCAAGUAACCCCCCGCCGGUACCGUCAGGUUUGAUACCUCCCGAAGGAAAUGAUUUGUGUCUUUAAUGUACGAGGGAAAUGAAGAUGGGAUGUCCUUAAUGAGACUGUCAAUAAAGCUGGAUAUUUUCUCA
Dermacentor albipictus is the source of this 410-nucleotide long non-coding RNA. RefSeq lists it as uncharacterized. NCBI's taxonomy places the organism in Eukaryota, Metazoa, Arthropoda, Arachnida, Ixodida, Ixodidae. The record is from RefSeq and is a predicted model, not a curated record.